UAAGUAGUCAAGACCUAAACCACCCCUUUUUAUUCACAAUCUUUGGGGUAGCUUUUCUUGCCCAGAAACCCCAGGCGGUGAACACCAAAAGACAGUAGAAAAUCUCUGUAAGAAAAACUUAACCAUUGAGAACCAACACCUGGAAACUCAUUGCCUUAACGAUCUGGCAGAUGUAACAGCUACUCCAGAAACUGAGGGGGAGAGGAGAACACCGGCAACUGGAAGUGGUUGUGGAAUGAGGGGAUCAGAUAGAAGAGGGAGGAGAGCUGUGCACCUGUCAGUUCCCAUCUCUUUGUCUGGCACAGCUGCACAUUUCCUUACAUGAACCAGUGGGGGUGCCUGAAUAAGAGGACUUACAUCAGCUUCAGUGUGACAUGUCUUACCGAGUGCGCAGGUGCCGCCAGGGAAGCUGUGAUCCUCACACAAGCCCAGG
Mauremys mutica (yellowpond turtle) is the source of this 433-nucleotide long non-coding RNA. RefSeq lists it as uncharacterized. The record is from RefSeq and is a predicted model, not a curated record. The transcript has 2 exons. NCBI's taxonomy places the organism in Eukaryota, Metazoa, Chordata, Testudines, Geoemydidae.